GUCUCUGUGGCGCAAUGGUUAGCGCGUUCGGCUUUUAACCGAAAGGAUGGUGUUUCGAGCCCACUCAUGGACG
This 73-nucleotide transfer RNA is filed under the name Callorhinchus milii (elephant shark). RNAcentral describes it as "tRNA-Lys (TTT) (tRNA-Lys-TTT-25-1)". It matches the Rfam family "tRNA". From Rfam's summary of the family: Transfer RNA (tRNA) molecules are approximately 80 nucleotides in length. Their secondary structure includes four short double-helical elements and three loops (D, anti-codon, and T loops). Further hydrogen bonds mediate the characteristic L-shaped molecular structure. tRNAs have two regions of fundamental functional importance: the anti-codon, which is responsible for specific mRNA codon recognition, and the 3' end, to which the tRNAs corresponding amino acid is attached (by aminoacyl-tRNA synthetases). tRNAs cope with the degeneracy of the genetic code in two manners: having more than one tRNA (with a specific anti-codon) for a particular amino acid; and 'wobble' base-pairing, i.e. permitting non-standard base-pairing at the 3rd anti-codon position. Lineage: Eukaryota; Metazoa; Chordata; Chondrichthyes; Chimaeriformes; Callorhinchidae. The record is from Rfam by way of RNAcentral.